RNAcentral lists this ribosomal RNA (480 nucleotides) under uncultured bacterium. RNAcentral describes it as "partial 16S ribosomal RNA". It matches the Rfam family "Bacterial small subunit ribosomal RNA", at positions 28 to 506 of the family's 1533-position model. The record is from RNAcentral.
GACGAACGUUGGCGGCGUGCUUAAUACAUGCAAGUCAACUGAAGCAGUGGUAGCAAUAUCGCUGUGGAGGUGGCGCACGGGUGAGUAACACGUAGGUAAUCUGCCUUCAGGUCUGGUAUAACUCCGGGAAACCGGGGCUAAUAGCAGAUGAUGCAGCGGCUCGACAUCGAGACAGUUGUUAAAGCUAUGGCGCCUGAAGAUGAGCCUGCGUCUGAUUAGCUAGUUGGCGGGGUAACGGCCCACCAAGGCAACGAUCAGUAGCUGGUCUGAGAGGAUGAUCAGCCACACUGGAACUGAGACACGGUCCAGACUCCUACGGGAGGCAGCAGUAAGGAAUAUUGCUCAAUGGGAGAAAUCCUGAAGCAGCAACGCCGCGUGAGGGACGAAGGGCUUUUGCUUGUAAACCUCUGUAGUGAGAGAAAAAAAUCCCAAUCUUUGGGACAUGAUGGUAUCUCAAAAGUAAGCCCCGGCUAACUACGU